ACUGAAAAAAUAAAAUAAUUAUCAACAUAAAACAUUGAACAACCCGCAAUUUUCCACUAUAUUUUUCAUUCCCAGACGAACAAUAUUUUUUUUUAAUUUUUAUUUUACCUGUAUCGAUCUUGAGAGCUUGAUGAUUUCCAGGACAAAAAUAGUUAGAUUUCUCCAGAAAAUAUACAAAUUAUAAAAAUUGAACAGAAAAAAAAAACCUAAUUUUGAUGUUUUGAUGAAGAUGAUGGAGAAAUGGUACAAUUUGAUGAUGAUGUGAAAUGGAUCUGAAACCCUAAUAAAUCAUCAGUUUUGGAACAAGGAGAAGUGCUGUUGGGAUUGAUCAUUAGAUACUAUUUAGCUAUUGAAACAUGCAUGCCAGAUAUCGUGGUCCGGUAAAUGGAAAUAGGUCUAGUUCAAUGGGUGUUGGGGGUGUGGGAGCUUCACCUGAGCGAUUUGCGAGAGGUCGUGGUGAGUAUAGAAACUUUAGUCGGGUUGAUUUUGGGCGUGGUCAAUCAAAGCAGUUUGGAUUGCCACAUGGAAAUGAAAUUUUCAUGGAAGCUGGACGGCUAGCGGCUGAGUACCUUGUUUCCAAGGGAGCGUUGCAUCCAAGUGCUCUUUCAGGGAAAUAUCAAAAUGGUAGCUUAAGGAAUCCAGUUGGAGAAUUUCAGGGGUUUAGGUCACAGGAGGCUGAUUUUAUGGGGGUCCCUGUGGAAGGUCGAAUAUCAGCUCUUACUCAUUUUGGGAGUGCUGCAGGUGAUGUAGGUCAUGGUAGGAAAAGGUUUCCGGAGGAAUAUAACUCAAUGGGUUCAAGAAACUUUGUGAGAGAAAGUAGAAGAAAUGAAACUUUUAAAAAUUAUGGCUCUGAGUUCAAUCGAGAAUUAGGAAGAGUUGGGUCAUGGAAUAGAGUCAGGAACUCUCCUGAUGUGGAUGCUCAAGAUAAUGCUUUUUCAGGGAAUAGAGAUGAACAGAAAGUAGCUAAGAAUAGUGAUGCGGUGUUGCAAAAUUCCCCUCCCAGGAAAAUAGAUCCUGAGAUUGAGAGUUCAGGGGACUCGCUGAUUGAUUCAGAGCCUGCAGGCCAAAACAAGGCAGGGGAUGAUGCAGGUAAAAAGGCAAGUCCUAUUAGCACUGAAACUAAUCUUCCAUCAGAGGAUGAACUACAACAUACUGAGAAGUGUAUUGAAAUGGAAGCCUCAAAAAUAGAAGUUGAUCAGGUUGAUGUUUCCAAUGAUAAUGGUGAUUUGGAGACAAAAGCUGCCAAGGAGAACAUAGAAGUUAAACCUUGUACUGAAGAACAUACGCAUACAAUCAAGAGUAGUAAUAAUUUACUUAGUGUCUGGAGGUUUGAGCAUGUUCCCAAGAAAACUCGCUCUUCAUUGGCAAAUAGAGUUCUGAAGGUUUUUGAUAAUGCAGUCAUCAAAGAUGAGAACACCCGUGAGAUGGAGCUUCCUAAGGAUACUCAAAUGCAUUCAGAACUGAACCAUGUGGAUGUUUCUGCUGGUGUAAUUUCAUCUCCUCAUAGUCAUGAUGCAAGAAACCUUGAUUCUGGCAAGUCGGAACCUCUUGAUUUGGAGGAAGAAUCACGUUGUUCUCAAGUCAUUAAGCAAGUAAAUGAGACGGAUUCCUCAUCUCUUGGAGACAGCAUGGUAAUAAAGGAGGACGAAACAAUUGUGGAGUUACCUGGAUUUGAAAGUUGCAGUUCUAUUAACUUGGAAAGAGGAGAGAAACGAGCAUUAGAGCAUGAUGAUGAUUGUACAGGGAGAACUAAGAAACCUAGAGAAUUGGUUUCAUCUACAUGUUCUCUCUCAGAUGGUAUUCUGUACCAUUCUAAUUCCAUGGAAGACUGGCCGAAUUCACAGGAACCAGGGACUUCGCACGGAGAGGGAGUGAUGUUGUCAUUAGAUGAGAAGAAGUUGGUUGACAUUCCUCUGAUUACCAAGAGUGAUGUGGAGCCAGGCACUGACUUUACAGGAAAACAACUUUUUCCAGGCUCCUUGAAAACUUGUGACCCCAAUCUUUUGGAAGCUUCUGUUGUGAAUGAGACUCAAAAUGCUGAUCCUGUUGAUAUAUUCCCAGGGAUAACUGGAAGUGUAAAAGAAGAAGCACCAGUCGAUAUUGAUCUGACCAUGAGUAGUAACUGCAAUACAGCUCGUCAAUAUGCUAAAUCUUCCUUUGAUCAUAUUGACAUUGAGGUGAUUGAUUUGGAUAAUGAUUCUGAACAAGAAGACAAGGCUUUGAAUAAUCUAGAGACGAGGUCUGAAGUUGUAUUUACUGGAUCAGAUGAUUUUUCAAAUAACCCCCAUGGUACCGACGAUACUCCUGAUGUUCAGGAUGGUUAUGGACUGAUGAUAUCAGAAUUGCUUGGGAAUGAUAUACCAAGCUGUUCUUCUGUACCAGAAAAUAUGAAUUCUUUUCACAAUGAUAUGGGCCUGCAUAAUGGAGAGCUGAGAACGACAUAACUCUUGAUGAAUGUUUUUCACCAACCUCUUGUUGAAUACUAUUAUUUUUUCUUCAGGCAGUGCUUGGAGAUGAUGAUUCAAUAUAUAUGUCUUUGGGAGAAAUACCGAUAAGCUUUCUGACGGCCUGGGAGCAGCAGACACAAGAAUUCGGGAAGCCAUUUUAAGCUACAACCUUUCCAGGUUUUCAUAAAAUAUAUUAUACAAUAAUCAUCUGUAUGGCUCAAUUUAGUUGUCAAAGAUUAGCUCUAUGCUACAGCAACUUCAUGUAUAUUUCAUGACUUGUGUAAGAUCUUCACUUCCAGCUGAUGUAAGUACUGUCCCCGCACCCCCUUCCUCGUCUCUUGAAGGGAGGUAAUCAAAUGUAUUUUCUUUACUCCUUUUCUGUUACACUCUUUUUUUUUGUCAUCACAAUUUGUCCUCUCUUGAUUAAAAGUUUAGCAGUUCCCUGA
Molecule: RNA transcript, 2893 nt
Organism: Solanum tuberosum (potato)
Lineage: Eukaryota; Viridiplantae; Streptophyta; Magnoliopsida; Solanales; Solanaceae
Exons: 5
Source: RefSeq, a predicted model, not a curated record